RNAcentral lists this ribosomal RNA (242 nucleotides) under uncultured bacterium. Its description in RNAcentral is "partial 16S ribosomal RNA". It matches the Rfam family "Bacterial small subunit ribosomal RNA", at positions 120 to 354 of the family's 1533-position model. The record is from RNAcentral.
AGGAACCUCGCCGUUGGAGGUAGGGGAAGUAAACAGACUAAGAAAUAGCUGCUAAUACCGCAUGAUGCAGUGAAGUCGCAUGGCUUUGCUGCCAAAGAUUUAUCGCUCUGAGAUGGCCUCGCGUCUGAUUAGAUAGUUGGCGGGGUAACGGCCCACCAAGUCGACGAUCAGUAGCCGGACUGAGAGGUUGGCCGGCCACAUUGGGACUGAGACACGGCCCAGACUCCUACGGAAGGCAGCAG